CCUACGGGAGGCAGCAGUGGGGAAUAUUGGGCAAUGGGCGCAAGCCUGACCCAGCAACGCCGCGUGAAGGAAGAAGGCUUUCGGGUUGUAAACUUCUUUUAAGGGGGAAGAGCAGAAGACGGUACCCCUUGAAUAAGCCACGGCUAACUACGUGCCAGCAGCCGCGGUAAUACGUAGGUGGCAAGCAUUGUCCGGAUUUACUGGGUGUAAAGGGCGUGCAGCCGGGGAGACAAGUCAGAUGUGAAAUCCACGGGCUCAACCCGUGAACUGCAUUUGAAACUGUUUCCCUUGAGUGUCGGAGAGGUAAUCGGAAUUCCUUGUGUAGCGGUGAAAUGCGUAGAUAUAAGGAAGAACACCAGUGGCGAAGGCGGAUUACUGGACGAUAACUGACGGUGAGGCGCGAAAGCGUGGGGAGCAAACAGGAUUAGAUACCCUUGUAGUC
This 442-nucleotide ribosomal RNA is filed under the name uncultured bacterium. RNAcentral describes it as "partial 16S ribosomal RNA". It matches the Rfam family "Bacterial small subunit ribosomal RNA", at positions 338 to 795 of the family's 1533-position model. The record is from RNAcentral.